Long non-coding RNA from Oncorhynchus keta (chum salmon), 603 nucleotides. RefSeq lists it as uncharacterized. The transcript is spliced from 5 exons. The record is from RefSeq and is a predicted model, not a curated record. NCBI's taxonomy places the organism in Eukaryota, Metazoa, Chordata, Actinopteri, Salmoniformes, Salmonidae.
CUAACCUUACUAACACAGCCAAGAGGUCACUAUAUACCACAGUACAACUAACCUUACUAACACAGCCAAGAGGUCACUAUAUACCACCGUACAACUAAACUAACCUUACUAACACAGCCAAGAGGUCACUAUAUACCACCGUACAACUAACCUUACUAACACAGCCAAGAGGUCACUAUAUACCACCGUACAACUAACCUAACCUUACUAACACAGCCAAGAGGUCACUAUAUACCACAGUACAACUAACCUUACUAACACAGCCAAGAGGUCACUAUAUACCACCGUACAACUAAACUAACCUUACUAACACAGCCAAGAGGUCACUAUAUACCACAGUACAACUAAACUAACCUUACUAACACAGCCAAGAGGUCACUAUAUACCACAGUACAACUAAACUAACCUUACUAACACAGCCAAGAGGUCACUAUAUACCACCGUACAACUAACCUUACUAACACAGCCAAGAGGUCACUAUAUACCACCGUACAACUAACCUUACUAACACAGCCAAGAGGUCACUAUAUACCACCGUACAACUAACCUUACUAACACAGCCAAGAGGUCACUAUAUACCACAGUACAACUAACCUUACUAAC